GGAGGGAAUUUGGAAGAAUUGUGGAUGAGACAGAGGAAGAAAUUUACUUUUCACUGUAUACCCUUUUAAAUUAUAUGAAUUUUUAAAACCUUGUGCAUGUAUUACUCAUUCAAAAUAAAUUCUGACUUACCAAAGAAAAAUCCACAUUCAUUUAGCAAACAUUUAUUAGGCAGUUACUAGACAGCAGACUCUCUGCUGGGCUCAGUAAGAGAAACAAGGAAUUCACAAUGGGGUUGAAUAACCUGGCACAUGCAACAUGUUAUAAUUAGUGGUUGGGAAACAGCUUCCAGGAGGAAUCAAAGUCAAGACUGAGACCUGGGACCUUGGACUAAGGAAUAGACUUAAUCCAAGUAAGUGGGCAAAGGAAGCCUUUUAGAGAAAGAGCAUCACAAACAAAGGCUCAGAUGGAGAGAACACGUUGCGAGUAGGCUUCCUGUCCCUGAGGAUGGGGGUGAGGUGGUGAGCAGUGCCUCCCUCUGCUUUCUCCCAGGCACCAAUCUACUUGAUUUUGUGGGUGCUGUUUGUUCAGUCCAUGAAUCAUGGUUUGAUUGUAGUAUCACUGCAUGUUUCUCAGAUUUAAGGGGAAAAUUUUCAUCCAACUUGUAAAGAUCUUGGUCUCAUCAUCAGAGUAACUUGGCUCCUCCAUCAAUCACUGAAUGCAAGACUUUGCCUUCAUUUCUUCUCUGUCAUAGCAGAUGUAGGGUUGGUCAUCCACGAAGUCACUGGCAGUAAACGCAGGGACUCCUGUACCUGGCUCAGACACAGCCGAGUAGAAAUACUGCAGAGAGUGUGAUCCUGAGGUGGGAACCAGAGACAGUGGAUCAGAGUCAGUUCUAGUAUUCACGAGUGAGUACCCAGUUCACAACGUGCGGGGAAUGAGUGUAUAUGUCUGUGUGUGGGUGGGUGUGAGUGUGUCUAAUAGGAGAGAAAGGACACACGACAUAAAACAACGGGAAGACACCUGCACAAUGACCUCCUGCACAAGUGAAUACAAAUUCCACACAGAGUAUGCACUGAGAGAAUUCAAAGAAACAGAAAUAAAUGUUACUGCCAUGCCUCAAUAAGAGAAGUUCCAUGAAGAAGUCGUUCUUGAAUAGGGCUUGGACAAGUGGAGGGAUGUGGAGUAGGGGAGAAGUUUUAGUAUCUUCUCACCGCUUAGAUUGAGGAGUAAGGGAACUGGAAAUAG
This 1186-nucleotide long non-coding RNA is filed under the name Equus caballus (horse). RNAcentral's name for it is "lncRNA (ENSECAG00000057141.1)". The record is from RNAcentral. Lineage: Eukaryota; Metazoa; Chordata; Mammalia; Perissodactyla; Equidae.